GGAUACCGCUUUCACGUUGGAAAAACGGAAAGCUGGAAACGGUCCGCCGCCGGAGGACGUGACUGCGGCCGAUUAGGUAGACGGUGGGGUAACGGCCCACCGUGCCAAUAAUCGGUACGGGUUGUGAGAGCAAGAGCCCGGAGACGGAAUCUGAGACAAGAUUCCGGGCCCUACGGGGCGCAGCAGCCGCGAAACCUUUACACUGCACGACAGUGCGAUAAGGGGAUCCCGAGUGCGAGGGCAUACAGUCCUCGCUUUUCGUGACCGUAAGGUGGUCACAGAAUAAGGGCUGGGCAAGACCGGUGCCAGCCGCCGCGGUAAUACCGGCAGCCCGAGUGAUAGCCAAUUUUAUUGGGCCUAAAGCGUCCGUAGCCGGCCGAACGGGUCCGUCGGGAAAUCCACCCGCUUAACGGGUGGGCGUCCGGCGGAAACCAGUCGGCUUGGGGCCGGGAGACCAGAGGGGUACGUCCGGGGUAGGAGUGAAAUCCUGUAAUCCUGGACGGACCACCGGUUGCGAAAGCGCCUCUGGAGAACGGACCCGACGGUGAGGGACGAAAGCUAGGGUCUCGAACCGGAUUAGAUACCCGGGUAGUCCUAGCCGUAAACGAUGCUCGCUAGGUGUGACGCAGGCUACGAGCCUGCGUUGCGCCGUAGGGAAGCCGAGAAGCGAGCCGCCUGGGAAGUACGUCCGCAAGGAUGAAACUUAAAGGAAUUGGCGGGGGAGCACUACAACCGGAGGAGCCUGCGGUUUAAUUGGACUCAACGCCGGACAUCUCACCGGCACCGACAACGUGCAGUGACGGUCAGUUUGAUGAGCUUACCUGAGCCGUUGAGAGGAGGUGCAUGGCCGCCGUCAGCUCGUACCGUGAGGCGUCCUGUUAAGUCAGGCAACGAGCGAGACCCGCGUCCAUAAUUGCCAGCAGCACCCUUGUGGUGGCUGGGUACAUUAUGGAGACUGCCGUCGCUAAGACGGAGGAAGGAACGGGCAACGGUAGGUCAGUAUGCCCCGAAUGUGCCGGGCGACACGCGGGCUACAAUGGCCAGGACAGUGGGACGCUACCCCGAGAGGGGACGCUAAUCUCCUAACCCUGGUCGUAGUUCGGAUUGCGGAUUGAAACUCAUCCGCAUG
RNAcentral lists this ribosomal RNA (1129 nucleotides) under Halococcus sp. NRS2HaP14. RNAcentral's name for it is "bacterial SSU rRNA". It matches the Rfam family "Archaeal small subunit ribosomal RNA", at positions 154 to 1278 of the family's 1478-position model. Lineage: Archaea; Methanobacteriati; Methanobacteriota; Halobacteria; Halobacteriales; Halococcaceae. The record is from RNAcentral.